GGCGCUGUUGCUCAAUGACAGAGCACUUGCCUAGCAUGUGCAAGGCUCUGGGUUUGAUACCCAGCACCACCA
This 72-nucleotide transfer RNA is filed under the name Heterocephalus glaber (naked mole-rat). It matches the Rfam family "tRNA". From Rfam's summary of the family: Transfer RNA (tRNA) molecules are approximately 80 nucleotides in length. Their secondary structure includes four short double-helical elements and three loops (D, anti-codon, and T loops). Lineage: Eukaryota; Metazoa; Chordata; Mammalia; Rodentia; Bathyergidae. The record is from Rfam by way of RNAcentral.